UGCCCCAUGGCUGAGUUGGUUACAGCGUCCGACUGUUAACGUAAUGGUAUCGGAAGGUCGUGAGUUCGAGCCUCACUGGGGCAG
This is a transfer RNA of Gloeophyllum trabeum ATCC 11539, 84 nucleotides long. It matches the Rfam family "tRNA". From Rfam's summary of the family: Transfer RNA (tRNA) molecules are approximately 80 nucleotides in length. Their secondary structure includes four short double-helical elements and three loops (D, anti-codon, and T loops). Lineage: Eukaryota; Fungi; Basidiomycota; Agaricomycetes; Gloeophyllales; Gloeophyllaceae. The record is from Rfam.